Molecule: long non-coding RNA, 4986 nt
Organism: Equus caballus (horse)
Lineage: Eukaryota; Metazoa; Chordata; Mammalia; Perissodactyla; Equidae
Source: Ensembl
GUGAGGAUCAGUAAUUGCAGCCAGAAGAGUUGUAACUCGUACAAAUCUCGUACUACGAGAUUGGCGUGACUGUUAAACACUCACCUUUGCCAGCUCCCCUUCCUUCCCUCCCCUGUGUGCUGCUCUAAUAGCUUAUUGCCAGGAGAGGCAGCUGGGGCGCAUGUUCCAUCGCCCAGCAUAGGCCCUUUGAGAUGAGACAGGUCUGUUCCACUUCUCAAAAUGGCAAUUAGGGCCAGUCGGCACAGCCCCAUCUGGAGGCCUGGAAAUCUUGAUGUGCACCUGCCACCGUACUCAGGAGCUGCUGAAGUUUCUGCUCCUCUGGGUGGUGAGGAAGGGCAGCCUCUGUAAUGAGAGGAGGCAGGUCAUUAAACUGCUCACAACAGCACAUCUUUGCAUAGAAAGCGGUUCUGCAACUGAGCCCCAGAUUGCUUGGACUUGCUCUCUCUGGUCCUCUUCCUUCGGAAGGCAUUUCUAGCAGAGGUGCAAGAUACACCCCUAGGGAACCCAGAGCCCCAAGUUAAAGGAAUUGUCCAAUACAGGCUCUCUCCUGCCUGAAAGCUGUUGUCAUAUCUUGUACAGGCACCCUGCUGGGCCUUCAUCUGGUCAACCUCAGUGAUCCAACCCCAUCCCAAAUUUUUAUCACACAGACCCUCUUUUCUAGUCCAGCUGAUUUCCUUAGGAUGUCCUGGAGUUGACACACCUGUGGAGUUCCUGCCUUGCCAAGGCCUGGUAACUGCCUUCCACCACCAUGGAGUAGAUCCCUGCAGUAGAUGUCUCCUUUCCACACCCAGCUGGGGGGUCCCAGAGACUUGAGUUAGCUGCAGAGCUAGACUGGAAGGUCUUAAGGACUUGGGGCGCUGUGGGGUGAGCGGAGGAUGUCCAGACUGCACCAUGUGCAGAGACAACAGGCCGUAUGUCUACAAUCUUGCCAGCAUUUCAGGUCCUUGUUUCUGUCUGUCGUGACAACCACCAUGUUUCCCUAACUUGGAUAUCAGGAAAUAAUCUUAUAAUAGGUCCACUUUUGAUUGUUAUAAUUUAUAUGAAGCAAAUUGCUCAAAUCUUGAAUGGGUUGCUGUUUGUAGAUACUGAAUGAUGUGUGAUGAGCCAUUUCCCCACAUGACUAUUUCACUGUCUCCCAUUUGUUUAUGCUGCCCCCACUUCAGUGGUGUCCUUCUCACUGCUCUCUGCCCACCUGAUCCCUCUGCAUCGUCCAUGAAGCCCUCCGCUACUCCCCCAACCAAGAAAGGUCUCCCUGUGCUUUGAGCCUUCUGGGUCCGUCCUGGUUGCUAUAACAAAACGCCUUAGCCUAUGUGGCUUAAACAUCAGAAAUUUACUCCUCAUAGUUCUGGAGGCUGGGAAGUCCAAGAUCAAGGUGCUGGCCAGUUUGGUUCCUGGGGAGGACACUCUUCCUGGUUUUCAGAUGCUGCCUUCUUGCUGUCUUGUCCUUGCACGGCAGAGAGAGGUCAUCCCCCUCAUGUCUCUUAUUAUAAGGGCACUAAUCCCAUUCAUGAAGGCUCCACCCUCAUGACCUAAUUACUUUCCAACGACCCUGCCUGCAAAUGCUGUUCCACUGAGGAUUAGGUUUCAGUACACAAAUUUAGGUGGACACAAACACUCAGUCCAUAGCACAGCCUAAGGUCUUGACUCCGCAGUAAAGUAGUUCAGUUAACAAUCGUGAAGUGAGCCUACUCUCUGUGCCAGGCCUGUGCUGGGUGCUGGGGACACAAAGACAUAGAGGCACAUUCUUUCCUCCAGGAGCUCACAGCAGAGGAGACAGACCUGUAAAAAAACCAACCACUGGGGCCGGCCCCGUGGUGCAGUGGUUAAGUGCACAUGUUCCACUUCGGCGGCCUGGGGUUGACCGGUUCGGAUCCCAGGUGCGGACAUGGCACCGCUUGGCAAGCCAUGCUGUGGUAGGUGUCCUGCAUAUAAAGUAGAGGAAGAUGGGCAUGGAUGUUAGCUCAGGGCCAGUCUUCCUCAACCAAAAGAGGAGGAUUGGCAGUGGAUAUUAGCUCAGGGCUAAUCUUCCUCAAAAAAAAAAAAAAAAAAAAAAACUAACCAUAGCACUAUGUGACAAGUGCUAAAAUGAGAGCUUUUCCUUCUGUUGGGGGAGGUGUGGGGUCCUCAGGGAAAGAAGGAAAACAAGGUGACCUUGGAAUUGAAGGAUGAAUGAAAUUUUGCCAGAUGCACAAGGGGGCACAGGACCUUCCACACCUUAAUGUUUAGUUAAAGACAAAAAUUAUUCUGAUGCUUGUUAACACAGUAAAGAAGACUAUUUAAGACUGUUGCAAUAGGAGUAUUGCCAUAGGCGAGAGAGAGAUUGGGUUCAACUCCAAAGACCGCAAGGACAAGUGGGGAUUCAUAACCAAGGAGCAGGGUGAAGGAUCAGCGGAUGGAAAAUUGUUAAGAGGAGACGUGAAGCACAGGGAGACUCUUGCUAGAAUGACCUAGUGGGAUUCUUUCUGAAAGUAGGCCAAGGACUUAGACAUCAAAGGUGGGGGAUGAAGAACUGGAUCGUAUUUCAAGGGUAGGGGGUUGACAUAACAGGAUUCUUUGCUUAGACUGGUCUGGGCAGGCCAAAGACAGGAUGGGGCCGGGUCAAGGCCGAGUGGAAAAGAAGGCUUAGAGGAGCCUGCCUAAAGUUUGGUCAAGGAGGGAGUCUUUGUCGUAGUCCAGGUCCUGCAACAUUAUCUAAUCAUUCUGUGUAAGAAAGACUUCUCUCCUUAGCUAUCUCAGUCGGCGGCUGGGAUGAAGGAACUGUCUGCUUCCUCUUAUGGGGGUCACCUCUCUUCUCUUCACUCCCCUUCCUUCCAUUCCCAGGCCCCACUUCACCCUCCUCCUUGCCUCAACUACUUUAAUUUCCAGUUUUCUCUCAGAGAUCUAGGAAUUUCAGCAUCUGGAAAUCACACACACACAUAAAGACAUACACACACACACACACACUAUGGUAAUGAAACCAUCUGGGAAGUGUAUUGAGAUGUAAAGAAGGAAGGGAGGAAAAACUCCUACUUCCUGCAGAGUCAUAUCAUAAAGGAGCUGGGAACUGAAGUUAACAGGGAUGGAGGCAGUCUCCUGGAACAGACAAAGGCUGGUAAGUAAAGAAACGCACGUGCAGGAAUGGCCCAGCUUUAAGAUCAACGUGCGGAGGCAAUGUUGAGCUUCUCCAAGUUUGCAGAAAAGCAGCAGCAGGCCUAAUCUGUUUAUGGGAGGCACUGUCAACUCUGCUCCAUUCCUAUCUCAGCCAUCCCUAUGGCCCCUCAAGCAAGCACUUGUCAUAUCAAAUGGAGUUUAUUAGAAGCCACUGCUUAGUUACCCUCGUCACAAAUGAUGGCAUAAUUUACUUUCAGGACCCCAAGUAACUUGAGUGAUGGACCAAAAAUAUAUUGUAGGUGUUAAAAGGAAUUCAGAACAGCCUGCCCUUCUUUUCAAAUAUCUUUUCUUCCAUUUUUUUUUCUUGACAAGAGUUUUGAAAUAAUGAGUGCCGGUAGGUGAUACAUGAGUGCCCUUUGUUGCUUACAGCUAUGAUAAAGACAAGGGACUUGGCUAAAGAAUCCCAUCUUCAUUGUCGUCUACCCUUGGUGGAGAUGUGAAUUGGUACAGGCUUCAGGGAGGAGAUUUGACAGUAUCUGUCAAACCAUAAGAUUUCCUUUCCUUCCAUCCAGCAAUCCUGAUUCUAAACAUUCUGUUCUGGUUAUCUAUUGCUGCAUAACAAACCGCCCCAAAACCAUUGGCCUAAAACAAAAACUUAUUAUUAUCGCUCACACUUCCGUAGGUUGUCCAGGAGAAUCUCACUUACAGUCUCUUAUAUGGCUGCAGUCAGAUGCAGCUGGGCCAUCUGAAGGCUCACUGGGGCUAGACAUCCAAGACGGUGCUCUCCAUGGCUGGCAGUCGGUGUUGGCUGGCAGCCGGGAGCUCCACUGGGGCUGUUGACUGGACGACUUCACAUGGCCUCUUCGUGUGAAUUGGUUUUGCACAGCUUCGUGGCCAGGUUCCAAGAGGGAGUGUCUCAUGAGUAAGUGUUCUGAAAGGCAAAAAAUGGGAGAUUCCGGGCCUGUUAGGGGCAAUGCCCAGAACUGGCACAGCAUCACUUCUGCCGUAUUCUAUUGGUCACAGCAAUCAUUGGGUGCGCCCUCCCACCAAGGGCCUAUAUGCCCCCCACUCCCUUAUAUGUUCUCUGAAAUGUUUUCCAAAAUUCUCCUUUUGUUUUAUAAAACAUCAAAACUCUUUUACAUACCAAGUUUUUUUUAGUUAGGUCUCUUUGAUACCGAGCAACGGAAACUGGUUGCAAGGAAUAGAGAAAUUAUUGGAGGAGGAGAGGUUGAGAAAUCCGGCUUGGAACAGCAAGGAAGUGCUCAGUAGUAUCACCUGGGUUCUACUGCUGGAAUGAAUGAACUCUACAACUGACUCUGUCCUUGCUCCUCAACUCAGGAGUCAGUAUCCCAGAGGAGAGACCCUGGCUGGCCACGCUUAGGUCCCGAGCCUAACCCUCGUCUGUGGGGAGUGGAAGAGAGAUCUGGCAGAUCCUAUAGACUCCUCUUACAGCUUCCAUGGUGGAGGGCAGGUGACUAGAUUUCCAUUCCAGCCUGAUUUAACCCAGUCGGGGAGAGGCAAUUUUCCAAAAGGGACAAUGGAUGCUGAAUUAACAGACAAUAAUGGACAUCCUCUCCACUGGGUUUACUUUCUAAUGCUUCUUCUUGAUGUUAUACACUGCAUCCACAGACAGAUAUCAAUCUAGAGUGCAGUCCAUGGAGGCUGGACCUUGGAGCCAGACUUGGACAAUCAUUUAAUCUUUCCUGGACUCAGUUUCCUUAUCUGCAAAAUGGAGGCAAAUAGUGCCUAACUCUCAGGGUUCUUAUGAGGAUUAGAGAUAACCUAUAUAAAUCUUUGGCACAGUUUCUGGUGCACAGUAGACCCUUAAUAAAUGGUAGCCACUGCACCAUUCUUAAUGAUGGAGCAGCCAUGGCCCUGCUCCUCUCUCUCUCUCAC